UCCUUCGAGGGGCGCUGCAACGGGACGCACGGGCGUACUUGCCAGGCUCGUUGGGGUGGAUUAUUACCGGCAACGGCGCCCGUUCAUC
RNAcentral lists this non-coding RNA (88 nucleotides) under Gemmata sp. SH-PL17. RNAcentral's name for it is "SAH (S-adenosyl-L-homocysteine) riboswitch aptamer". It matches the Rfam family "SAH (S-adenosyl-L-homocysteine) riboswitch aptamer". RNAcentral also lists the same sequence under 1 other name. Lineage: Bacteria; Pseudomonadati; Planctomycetota; Planctomycetia; Gemmatales; Gemmataceae. The record is from Rfam by way of RNAcentral.